RNAcentral lists this unclassified non-coding RNA (336 nucleotides) under soil metagenome. RNAcentral describes it as "partial contains 5.8S ribosomal RNA, internal transcribed spacer 2, and large subunit ribosomal RNA". The stretch from base 1 to 120 matches the Rfam family "5.8S ribosomal RNA", at positions 35 to 154 of the family's 154-position model. The record is from RNAcentral.
GAUGAAGAACGUAGCGAAAUGGGAUAAGUAAUGUGAAUUGCAGAAUUCCGUGAAUCAUCGAAUCUUUGAACGCACAUUGCGCCCCCUGGUAUUCCGGGGGGCAUGCCUGUCCGAGCGUCAUUGCAACCUUCAAGCGCGGCUUGUGUGUUGGGUCUCGUCCCCCGUGGACGGGCCCGAAAGGCAGUGGCGGCGUCCCGACAUGGUGCCCGAGCGUAUGGGAAUCCUCUUCCGCUCGAAUCGGCCCAUGCGGCGCUGGUCGUAACCAAAUUUUUUACCGGUUGACCUCGGAUCAGGUAGGGAUACCCGCUGAACUUAAGCAUAUCAAUAAGCGGAGGA